AAUCUUGGGAAACUGAGGCUAAUGCCCCAUAGGUUCUGGAUACUGGAAUGUUCCGGAACUGAAAGCUCCGGCGCCUAAGGAUGGGACUGCGGCCCAUCAGGCUGUUGUCAGGGUAAGAACCUGACAAACCUGCAACGGGUAGGGGCCAUGAGAGUGGGAGCCUCGAGAUGCCUUCUGAGACAUGAAGGCAGGGCCUACGGGUCGCAGCAGGCGCGAAAACUUUCCAAUGCGUUAACGCGUGAGAGGGGUAGCCUGAGUGGUCACGUUUUACGUGACCUUUUCUGAAGUCCAAACCGCUUCGGGAAUAAGUAGUGGGCCAGACGGGUGCCAGCCGCCGCGGUAAUACCCGCGCUACGAGUGGUAAUCACUUUUAUUGGGCCUAAAGCGUCCGUAGCCUGCACGUUAAGUCUCUGGUGAAAUCUGGCAGCUGACUGUCAGGCGUGCUGGGAAACUAACGUGCUUGGGACCGGGAGAAGUCUGGGUAUUCCACGUGUAGGGUUAAGUCCUUUAAUCCGUGGAGGACCACCUGUGGCGAAGGCGCCAGACUAGAACGGGUCCGAUGGUGAGGGACGAAAGCGUAGGAGCGAUCGGGAUUAGAUACCCCGGUAGUCUACGCUGUAACGAUGUCCGCUUGAUGUUGCGCGCACUACGUGUGUUCGAGUGUCGGAGUGUAGAUGUAAGCGGACCGCUGGGAGUACGUCCGCAAGGUGAAACUUAG
This 718-nucleotide ribosomal RNA is filed under the name uncultured archaeon. RNAcentral's name for it is "bacterial SSU rRNA". It matches the Rfam family "Archaeal small subunit ribosomal RNA", at positions 128 to 859 of the family's 1478-position model. The record is from RNAcentral.